GAACGUGAGGGAGAAGCCCCAACCCUCAUUAAUGGAAAAACGGGCGUGCGAGGAGCAAUUUUAAUUCGGCCGGGAAUUAAAAUUUAAUUUAAUUUUAAUGCCAGGAAGUCCCAACCGUCCCUCCUCAAGUCCGCCACGCCAACCCUAUACAGUUCCAAACCGCCACCCCCACCCCAAUGCUUAGAGGGCUCAAAAAUGAUUUUCUUUGUAGGAUCUGAUAAGAUAUCAGGAUGGCAACUUUCAAAUACAGUAAAAAGUGUUUUGUUAUUUGCUGUUGAUGGGUUCAAUACAGCCUGCUUUCUGAAGUGUAAUUUAAUUUUUCUUUUAUCCGCCCCUACUGCCAUCUGCUUUUAUCCUCAUACCUCACCCAGAGUUUGUUCCAUGGGCACAGGUUUCUUUGAGACGGACCGUGUUAAAGCCUGUAUCCAGUCAGGAUGUGUGGCAGUUCAGAUGGGUAUUUUCCAUUCACCCGCCCCUGCCGCCAGCCCUCACCCUGAGCUCAGCCCCUCCUGCCCACUGCUCAGACAGCUUCCUUCACCACACCCAGGGCCCUGGGGCACGGAGCAGAGAGUCACAACUGACUCACUUGCUGCCUUCUCACCAAGCGCACACAGGACCUGGAGAGUAAAAGAAAUAAAGGAAAAAGUUCUUUCCCUUUACUCUCCAGGUGGCACUACCCCAACCCUCAAAUAUGGUACUUGUGGGGACUCUCACCUUCCUGCAGCCCCUCUGAGGACUCCCAAUUUCGAACACAUGGUUCUAGAAAAACCCUCUCUUCCCGCUCUCCAGGUUGCUCAUUGUUCUGUGGCCCAUCACAUCCAGUUCACUUGCGCUCCCCUUGCAAUCACAGAAUGUUAGCUAAACAAGGGCUCUUAGUGUUCACCUACAUAGCUCACCUCUCAUUUUACAGAUGGAAAGAGUUGGGUGGUUACCUAAGCGACUUGCCUAAGGUCAGGCAGCUGGUGAUUGGCAGAGUAGAAAUCAUAAUUUGGGUCACUAGAUGCUAUUUAGGGUGUGGUAGAGCAGCAGGAUGGCCGAAACAGGAGUCAUGUCCUCCAAUGCUGGCC
Molecule: long non-coding RNA, 1067 nt
Filed under: Homo sapiens (human)
Lineage: Eukaryota; Metazoa; Chordata; Mammalia; Primates; Hominidae
Description: non-protein coding lnc-ERCC3-1:1
Source: RNAcentral